CCUACGGGUGGCAGCAGUGGGGAAUAUUGGGCAAUGGGCGCGAGCCUGACCCAGCAAAGCCGCGUGAAGGAAGAAGGCUCUCGGGUUGUAAACUUCUUUUCUCAGGGACGAAGCAAGUGACGGUACCUGAGGAAUAAGCCACGGCUAACUACGGGCCAGCAGCCGCGGGAAUACGGAGGUGGCAAGCGUUAUCCGGAUUUACUGGGUGUAAAGGGCGUGUAGGGGGGAAAGCAAGUCAGAUGUGAAAACCAUGGGCUCAACCUCUGGCCUGCAGUUGAAACUGUUGUUCUUGAGUACUGGAGAGGCAUACGGAAUGCCUAGUGUAGCGGUGAAAUGCGUAGAUAUUAGGAGGAACUCCAGUUGCGAAGGCGGUCUGCUGGACAGCAACUGACGCUGAGGCGCGAAAGCGUGGGGAGCAAACAGGAUUAGAUACCCCUGUAGUC
Molecule: ribosomal RNA, 443 nt
Filed under: uncultured bacterium
Lineage: Bacteria
Description: partial 16S ribosomal RNA
Rfam family: Bacterial small subunit ribosomal RNA
Source: RNAcentral